UACGUAGGGUGCGAGCGUUGUCCGGAAUUAUUGGGCGUAAAGGGCGCGUAGGCGGCCUUCUAAGUCGAACGUGAAAUCCCCGGGCUCAACCCGGGAACUGCGUCCGAUACUGGGAGGCUUGAAUCCGGGAGAGGGAUGCGGAAUUCCAGGUGUAGCGGUGAAAUGCGUAGAUAUCUGGAGGAACACCGGUGGCGAAGGCGGCAUCCUGGACCGGCAUUGACGCUGAGGCGCGAAAGCCAGGGGAGCAAACGGG
RNAcentral lists this ribosomal RNA (253 nucleotides) under uncultured bacterium. RNAcentral describes it as "partial 16S ribosomal RNA". It matches the Rfam family "Bacterial small subunit ribosomal RNA", at positions 524 to 776 of the family's 1533-position model. The record is from RNAcentral.